GACGAACGCUGGCGGCGUGCUUAACACAUGCAAGUCGAACGGAAAGGCCCUGCUUUUGUGGGGUGCUCGAGUGGCGAACGGGUGAGUAACACGUGAGUAACCUGCCCUUGACUUUGGGAUAACUUCAGGAAACUGGGGCUAAUACCGGAUAGGAGCUCCUGCUGCAUGGUGGGGGUUGGAAAGUUUCGGCGGUUGGGGAUGGACUCGCGGCUUAUCAGCUUGUUGGUGGGGUAGUGGCUUACCAAGGCUUUGACGGGUAGCCGGCCUGAGAGGGUGACCGGCCACAUUGGGACUGAGAUACGGCCCAGACUCCUACGGGAGGCAGCAGUGGGGAAUAGUGCAAAAUGGGCGGAAGCCUGAUGCAGCAACGCCGCGUGCGGGAUGACGGCCUUCGGGUUGUAAACCGCUUUCGCCUGUGACGAAGCGUGAGUGACGGUAAUGGGUAAAGAAGCACCGGCUAACUACGUG
This 468-nucleotide ribosomal RNA is filed under the name uncultured bacterium. RNAcentral describes it as "partial 16S ribosomal RNA". It matches the Rfam family "Bacterial small subunit ribosomal RNA", at positions 28 to 507 of the family's 1533-position model. The record is from RNAcentral.